UGGGGAAUAUUGCACAAUGGAGGAAACUCUGAUGCAGCGAUGCCGCGUGAGGGAAGAAGGUUUUAGGAUUGUAAACCUCUGUCUUCAGGGACGAAAAAAGACGGUACCUGAGGAGGAAGCUCCGGCUAACUACGUGCCAGCAGCCGCGGUAAUACGUAGGGAGCGAGCGUUGUCCGGAAUUACUGGGUGUAAAGGGAGCGUAGGCGGGAUCGCAAGUCAGAUGUGAAAACCCAGGGCUUAACCCUGGGACUGCAUUGGAAACUGUCUGGCUCGAGUGCCGGAGAGGUAAGCGGAAUUCCUAGUGUAGCGGUGGAAUGCGUAGAUAUCGGGAGGAACACCAGUGGCGAAGGCGGCCUACUGGGCACCAACUGACGCUGAGGCUCGAAAGUGUGGGUAGCAAACAGGAUUAGAUACCCUGGUAGUCCACACCGUAAACGAUGAUUACUAGGUGUUGGAGGAUUGACCCCUUCAGUGCCGCAGUUAACACAAUAAGUAAUCCACCUGGGGAGUACGACCGCAAGGUUGAAACUCAAAGGAAUUGACGGGGGCCCGCACAAGCAGUGGAGUAUGUGGUUUAAUUCGACGCAACGCGAAGAACCUUACCAAGUCUUGACAUCCCUUGACGAUGCUGGAAACAGCAUUUCUCUUCGGAGCAAGGAGACAGGUGGUGCAUGGUUGUCGUCAGCUCGUGUCGUGAGAUGUUGGGUUAAGUCCCGCAACGAGCGCAACCCUUAUGGUCAGUUACUACGCAAGAGGACUCUGGCCAGACUGCCGUUGACAAAACGGAGGAAGGUGGGGAUGACGUCAAAUCAUCAUGCCCUUUAUGACUUGGGCUACACACGUACUACAAUGGCGUUAAACAAAGAGAAGCAAGACCGCGAGGUGGAGCAAAACUCAGAAACAACGUCCCAGUUCGGACUGCAGGCUGCAACUCGCCUGCACGAAGUCGGAAUUGCUAGUAAUCGUGGAUCAGCAUGCCACGGUGAAUACGUUCCC
This 996-nucleotide ribosomal RNA is filed under the name uncultured bacterium. Its description in RNAcentral is "bacterial SSU rRNA". It matches the Rfam family "Bacterial small subunit ribosomal RNA", at positions 355 to 1375 of the family's 1533-position model. The record is from RNAcentral.